This 1182-nucleotide ribosomal RNA is filed under the name Triticum aestivum (bread wheat). Its description in RNAcentral is "partial small subunit ribosomal RNA". The record is from RNAcentral. Lineage: Eukaryota; Viridiplantae; Streptophyta; Magnoliopsida; Poales; Poaceae.
AUGGCCGCGUCGGGAGGCUGGUCCGGCGGGUGCACAUGGCCGGACCUCCAGCCGGAGAUAUUGGGCGUCGUGCUCUCGCGGCUGCCGUCGCACGCCGACCGCGUCCGCCUCGCCGCCGUCUGCCGCCCAUGGCGCUCCAGCGCGCGGCUGCUGCGUCCGCUACCCCCGCUACUCCCGUGGCUCGCCCUCUGCGAUGGCACCUUCCUCAGCCUCCCCGACGGCGCCGUGCACCGCCUGCCCGUGGCGGGCCACGGCGUCUCCGUACGAGUCUCCACCGGCAGCACGCUCUUCCUCGUGCACGUCGACGACCACAAUUGCUCCCUGAUGAACCCUUCCCCGGUAACGACGACCCCUCUCCCUGAGGCCGCCGGCUGGUUCCGAGAAAACCCGGCCGUCCGGAAGGUGUUAAUGUCCGAUCACCUCGUCGCCGCCCUGGUGAAGUCCAAAGACAUCUACGGUUCCAAGACCACCAAGGUCAUCAUCUCCACCCGUGGGCAGCCAUGGGACAUCACGAGGUGCUCCACGACGGAGUGGGCGGCGCCUGAAGACAGCUGCGUCAUAGAUAUUGCGCUCUUCAAAGCAAAGCUCUACGUCCUCCUCGACACAGUCCUCUUCGACACAGAAGACGAGGAAUAUGGACAGGUGCAUGAGCUUCGUGUCCUGGACGAUGGCCACGAGCAGGCAACCAUCCAGGGCACCCCAGUCGCCGGGUUUGAGGACGAUUUUGAUCCUUACGAGACCGACGCGUACGGGCAGCGGCACUACCUCGUCGUCUCCGGCGAUCGGCUGCUGAUGGUGCAACGAUGGAUCAACCUGCCGCCAAUAUUUCCGAUCGACUCAGGGAUCGAGAAGCGGACCCGACUCUUCAAGGUCUUCGAAGCAACGGGCCUGAGCAGCGGCUGUGGACAAUGGACCGAGGUCGAUAGGUUGACGGGGCGCGCGCUCUUUGUCAGCGAAGGCUGCUCAGAGUCUCUCCCAGCCGGGGGUCAAUCUAGCGGCGUCGGAGUUCGAGAAGACUGCAUCUACUUCCUGAACGACGAAACUUGUGAGAAUCCCUUUCCAGACUCCGGCGCGUACAACAUGAGAGACCAGACAGUGGCGCCGUUGCUUCCGGCGACGGUGGCGGUGCCCGCAGCCGGCUACGGUCCAUGGUCUCCAACUUGGCUUUUCCCGGAGACUUGA